CAGCCUCGGCCACCUGCCCAGGAAGCCAGUACUCCCCUCGUCUUCACUAAACAUCCCGUGAGUCAGACCCACAGGAAGCCGGCUUGCAGUCUGCACAGGCCGUCUACGAGGAAGCUGCGCAGGAACAGCUGUGACGAUCGGCACCCGCAGCCGGGCAGGACCGCCCUGCGACGGACAGCUGCCCCACCUUCUGUCCCUGCUUCCAGCUCAGGACCAGCAGGCGGCACGGCUCCUGAGACAGUGGGUGCUCAGUGAAUGUGUCUGACCAGAUGGAUGAAGACAGCCUCGGGUUAGUCGCCCAGCUACCCUCCUGGUCAUAAGAAGAAGAUGCAGGAAGCUUUAGGGAUGAGGAAGUAGCUCAUCUGUCUUCAAACGCACGUGAAGGGCCACCCAUCACCUAGUAAUCGCCCCUCCCCCAUGUCACAGCCACCUGCGCAGGGGAGCUUCCCGCCUUAUUCUCCCUUCACGCUGAGCAGUUACGACCGUAUCUGUUCAGAAGAAACAUAUGUGAGAAAUAUAAAAUACUCAGGCAGGUGAAUGGAACGUCUCAGUUAAUCUUUUCUUCUGCACAUUCUGCCCUGGACCUUCUGCCUCCCUUAAAUAUUUUUCUUCCCUGAAUUUAUAGCCCCUCAGACUCUGUUUUGUAAUUUCAGGACUGGGUUGGGGACUGACUCUGCCUCCUUAUCACCGAUGAUCUCGACUUUAACUCUGUGCUUUAAAGUACUUCCCCAAAGAGCCCUCCCCCGUGGUUCUUGCCACGGAAGACGCCGCCUGCCUGGCGGAGCCGGGGUGAUGCUCGGGGUGGGUCAGAGACCCUCGCUGACUGACCCUCUGUGUGCUCUUUCCCUGCCCACAGCCUCCUCUGCGCCCGUGACCUCCUGGCCUGUCCAGUCCCUCGGCUCUGCGGCCUGUGGAGUCCCCUCCCUGGGCUCCUGUCAGGAGCCCGACGUGGUGGUCAGCGGGCAGAACCGGGGCCGUUUUCAACACCUUUCGUGCACUCCUCCCGGCAAACCCUGAGGCAUAAACAACCUCACUCUAUAAGAGGAAGCAAACCCAGGGAGGUUACGGAGACGCCUGGGGCCUCAUAAUAGCUAACUGUGGCCCAGCGGGGCCUGAACCCUGGGCUGUGUCCUUCUGCUGAAUUUGUGGGGAAGCAAAGGCACCUGGGCCCCAGGCGGAUGGGAAGACACGGCACCUACAGUCAUAUUUAUUUACUGUAAACCUGCCAGAGAGUAAAU
Long non-coding RNA from Aethalodelphis obliquidens (Pacific white-sided dolphin), 1238 nucleotides. RefSeq lists it as uncharacterized. The record is from RefSeq and is a predicted model, not a curated record. Lineage: Eukaryota; Metazoa; Chordata; Mammalia; Artiodactyla; Delphinidae. The transcript has 3 exons.